GGAUGAGGAUCAAGCUCCAAAGAUCCUGCCACCCCAGUCCCACUCGUGGGGGCGGGGGAGGGCGGGGAGAGAGAGCCGGGAGGAAAAGGCAGGAGGAACCCCAGGUCCAGCACGGGCCGGGUCGCGGGAGGGGGCGCUGUCUGCACUUCCGGCAGGCGGCGGGAGAAAAGAAAAUCAGCUGGAAAAGGUUGGAGGGGGCAGGGAUGGAAAGGCGGCUGUCCAGGGACCCUGGCUAAGUCCCCUCCCUCCAAGCCGCAGGAGGGCCACGCUCCAGCCUCCUGCUCCCGCCGAGUUAGGCCGCAGCAUCGGGUCCUCCUUGGAGCUCCCUCGGUCGCGCCGCAGCCUCAGUCAGCCCUCCCGCUUGAGGCUGGGCUUCGCCGCCUCCUGCCGUUCUCCUCCGGCGGGUACACUCACCGCAUCCUCCCAGUUCUGCCUGUUGCUGGGGCCGGAGAAGUUUUCUGAAAGUUCAUCCUUGAGCAUAUAGCUAUUCUGCAUAGCUGCUCAGUAGAGAUGCUGUGAGCUGAGCAGCUUUCUCUACCACACUUGUCUGCCAUGAUGUUCUGCCUCACUCUGGCUCAGAGCAAUGGAAUCAACCAACCAUCGACUGAGACCUCUGAAACCAUGAACCAAAAUAAACUUCUCCUAUUCAAAAUUGUUAUUGUUGGAUAUUUUGGCCACAGCAAUGAAAAACACAUGAGGCAUUAUUAUUAUUAAUGAACACACUAGGUAUU
Long non-coding RNA from Marmota monax (woodchuck), 731 nucleotides. RefSeq lists it as uncharacterized. NCBI's taxonomy places the organism in Eukaryota, Metazoa, Chordata, Mammalia, Rodentia, Sciuridae. The record is from RefSeq and is a predicted model, not a curated record. The transcript has 3 exons.